CAAACGGGGAGAAGAACUAACAAGGAUUCCCUUAGUAACGGCGAGUGAAGAGGGAUGAGCUCAAAUUUGAAAUCUGGCAGCCUGACGGUUGUCCGAGUUGUAAUCUAGAGAAGUGUUUUCCGUGCUGGACCGUGUACAAGUCCUUUGGAACAAGGCGUCAUAGAGGGUGAGAAUCCCGUCUACGACACGGACUACCAGUGCUCUGUGAUMCACUCUCAACRRGUCGAGUUGUUUGGGAAUGCAGGCUCAAAAUGGGUGGKWAAUUCCAUCUAAAGGCUAAAUACGGGCGMAAGAYCGAUAGCGAACAAGUCACCGGUGAGGGAAAGAUGAAAAGCACUUUGGAAAGAGAGUUAAACAAGUACGUGRAAWUGUUGAAAGGGAAACGCUUGAAGUCAGUCGCGUCUUCAGAAAUUCAGCCUUGCUUCUGCCUGGUGUAUUUUUCUGUUUGACGGGCCAGCAUCAGUUUCGACUGCCAGAAAAAGGUGAGAGGGAAGGUGGCACCUCCGGGUGUGUUAUAGCCUCUCAUCGUAUGUGGCGGUGGGGACUGAGGACCGCAGCACGCCUCUAAUGGCCGGGGUUCGCCCACGUAACGUGCUUAGGAUGCUGGCGUAAUGGCUUUAAACGACCCGUCUUGAAACACGGACCAAGGAGUCUAACAUGCCUGCGAGUAUUUGGGUGGCAAACCCAUGUGCGGAAUGAAAGUGAACAGUUGGGACUUCUGUCAUGGAAGGCACCGACGCCCGGACCAGACCUAUUGUGACGGAUCCGAGGUAGAGCAUGUAUGUUGGGACCCGAAAGAUGGUGAACUAUGCCUGAGUAGGGUGAAGCCAGAGGAAACUCUGGUGGAGGCUCGUAGCGAUUCUGACGUGCAAAUCGAUCGUCGAACUUGGGUAUAGGGGCGAAAGACUAAUCGAACCAUCUAGUAGCUGGUUCCUGCCGAAGUUUCCCUCAGGAUAGCAGAGACUCAUAUCAGAUUUAUGUGGUAAAGCGAAUGAUUAGGGGCCUUGGGGUUGAAACAACCUUAACCCAUUCUCAAACUUUAAAUAUGUAAGAACGACGCGUCGCUUGAUUGGACCCGUCGGUGAUUGAGAGUCUCCUAGUGGGCCAUUUUUGGUAAGCAGAACUGSSGAUGCGGGAUGAACCGAUCGUGAGGUUAAGGUGCCGGAAUGCACGCUCAUUAGACACCACAAAAUGUGUGAGUUCAUCUAGACAGCAGGACGGUGGCCAUGGAAGUCGGAAUCCGCUAAGGAGUGUGUAACAACUCACCUGCCGAAUGAACUUGCCAUGAAAAUGGAUGGCGCUCAAGCGUGUUACCCAUACCUCACCGUCAGCGUUGAAGUGACGCGCUGACGAGUAGGCAGGCGUGGAGGUCCGUGAAGCAGCCUAGGCAGUGAUGCCUGGGAAAUGUUUCC
RNAcentral lists this ribosomal RNA (1412 nucleotides) under Geastrum oxysepalum. Its description in RNAcentral is "partial large subunit ribosomal RNA". The record is from RNAcentral. Lineage: Eukaryota; Fungi; Basidiomycota; Agaricomycetes; Geastrales; Geastraceae.